GAUGAAGAACGUAGCGAAAUGCGAUAACUAAUGUGAAUUGCAGAAUUCAGUGAAUCAUCGAAUCUUUGAACGCACAUUGCGCCCGCCAGUAUUCUGGCGGGCAUGCCUGUCUGAGCGUCAUUUCAACCCUCAUGCCCCUAGGGCGUGGUGUUGGGGAUCGGCCAAAGCCCGCGAGGGACGGCCGGCCCCUAAAUCUAGUGGCGGACCCGUCGUGGCCUCCUCUGCGAAGUAGUGAUAUUCCGCAUCGGAGAGCGAUGAGCCCCUGCCGUUAAACCCCCAACUUUCCAAGGUUGACCUCAGAUCAGGUAGGAAUACCCGCUGAACUUAAGCAUAUCAAUAAGCGGAGGA
This 348-nucleotide unclassified non-coding RNA is filed under the name soil metagenome. RNAcentral describes it as "partial contains 5.8S ribosomal RNA, internal transcribed spacer 2, and large subunit ribosomal RNA". The stretch from base 1 to 120 matches the Rfam family "5.8S ribosomal RNA", at positions 35 to 154 of the family's 154-position model. The record is from RNAcentral.